UACGGAGGGUGCGAGCGUUGUCCGGAAUCACUGGGCGUAAAGGGCGCGUAGGCGGCGCGGGAAGUCAUCGGUGAAAGUUCAGGGCUCAACUCUGAAUCGGCCGGUGAUACUCUCGUGUUCGAGCACUGUAGAGGCAGGUGGAAUUCCGGGUGUAGCGGUGGAAUGCGUAGAGAUCCGGAAGAACACCGGUGGCGAAGGCGGCCUGCUGGGCAGUAGCUGACGCUGAUGCGCGACAGCGUGGGGAGCAAACAGG
Molecule: ribosomal RNA, 253 nt
Filed under: uncultured bacterium
Lineage: Bacteria
Description: partial 16S ribosomal RNA
Rfam family: Bacterial small subunit ribosomal RNA
Source: RNAcentral